Dermochelys coriacea (leatherback sea turtle) is the source of this 131-nucleotide long non-coding RNA. RefSeq lists it as uncharacterized. The transcript is spliced from 3 exons. The record is from RefSeq and is a predicted model, not a curated record. NCBI's taxonomy places the organism in Eukaryota, Metazoa, Chordata, Testudines, Dermochelyidae.
GUCUGUGACCCAAGGACCUCUUGGUGCCAAUUAGUAGAGGACACAGGGUGCAUAAGUGUUACAGGGAUUCCCUGGGUCUGGUAUUUACAUAUUAGUUCACCAAAGAGUGUCAUACCAGAUCUCUACUCAAA